This 402-nucleotide ribosomal RNA is filed under the name uncultured bacterium. RNAcentral's name for it is "bacterial SSU rRNA". It matches the Rfam family "Bacterial small subunit ribosomal RNA", at positions 355 to 774 of the family's 1533-position model. The record is from RNAcentral.
UGGGGAAUCUUGCACAAUGGGGGCAACCCUGAUGCAGCGACGCCGCGUGAGCGAUGAAGCCCUUCGGGGCGUAAAGCUCUUUCGACCGGAACGAUAAUGACGGUACCGGGAGAAGAAGCUGCGGCUAACUACGUGCCAGCAGCCGCGGUAAUCCGUAGGCAGCAAGCGUUGUUCGGAGUUACUGGGCGUAAAGAGUGCGUAGGCGGUUUUCUAAGUUCGGUGUGAAAUCUCCCGGCUUAACUGGGAGGGUGCGCCGAAGACUGGGAAGCUGGAGUGGGGGAAAGGCAGGCGGAAUUCCUGGUGUAGCGGUGAAAUGCGUAGAUAUCAGGAGGAACACCUGCGGUGUAGACGGCUUGCUAGACCAUAACUGACGCUGAGGCACGAAAGCGUGGGUAGCAAACA